AGAAAAAACUAGGGGUAAAGCAGGGCUGCUAACUUUGCUUUGGGUAAAUCGAUAUUAUCCUUUUUCUU
RNAcentral lists this transfer RNA (68 nucleotides) under Bithynia leachii. Its description in RNAcentral is "tRNA-Ser". Lineage: Eukaryota; Metazoa; Mollusca; Gastropoda; Littorinimorpha; Bithyniidae. The record is from RNAcentral.